CGGGAUUGCCCCGGGCGCCUCGCGUGCCCCGGAUCAGGCGCCCGCCUAGGAACUUUAACUCUUGUUUUAUUUUGAAUCUUCUGAGUAGUUUUUACAAAUAAAUAAAAACUUUCAACAACGGAUCUCUUGGUUCUGGCAUCGAUGAAGAACGCAGCGAAAUGCGAUAAGUAAUGUGAAUUGCAGAAUUCAGUGAAUCAUCGAAUCUUUGAACGCACAUUGCGCCCGCCAGUAUUCUGGCGGGCAUGCCUGUCUGAGCGUCAUUUCAACCCUCAUGCCCCUAGGGCGUGGUGUUGGGGAUCGGCCAAAGCCCGCAAGGGACGGCCGGCCCCUAAAUCUAGUGGCGGACCCGUCGUGGCCUCCUCUGCGAAGUAGUGAUAUUCCGCAUCGGAGAGCGAUGAGCC
RNAcentral lists this ribosomal RNA (401 nucleotides) under fungal sp. Its description in RNAcentral is "eukaryotic LSU rRNA". The stretch from base 107 to 260 matches the Rfam family "5.8S ribosomal RNA". The record is from RNAcentral. Lineage: Eukaryota; Fungi.